This is a non-coding RNA of Triticum aestivum (bread wheat), 125 nucleotides long. The record is from Rfam. NCBI's taxonomy places the organism in Eukaryota, Viridiplantae, Streptophyta, Magnoliopsida, Poales, Poaceae.
AUGAUAUUACCUCCUUCCCAAAUUACUUGUCUUAGAUUUGUUUACAUAUGGAUAUAUCUAACGUUAAAACAUGUCUACACAUAGACAAAACUAAGACAAAUAAUUUGGGACGGAGGGAGUACAGU